RNAcentral lists this ribosomal RNA (1233 nucleotides) under Alburnus tarichi (tarek). Its description in RNAcentral is "partial large subunit ribosomal RNA". It matches the Rfam family "Bacterial large subunit ribosomal RNA", at positions 698 to 2572 of the family's 2925-position model. Lineage: Eukaryota; Metazoa; Chordata; Actinopteri; Cypriniformes; Leuciscidae. The record is from RNAcentral.
AGACCUUUAGUUUGAACCCCGAAACCAGGUGAGCUACCCCGAGACAGCCUAUAUUGAUUUAGGGCUAACCCGUCUCUGUGGCAAAAGAGUGGGAAGAGCUCCGGGUAGAAGUGACAGACCUACCGAACCUGGUGAUAGCUGGUUGCCUGAGAAGUGGAUAGAAGUUCAGCCUCGCACACCCCAAGCCAGAGAAUACACCGCUGAGGCACUCAGGGAAAUGUGGGAGAGUUAGUUAAAGGGGGUACAGCCCCUUUAACAAAGGAUACAACCUUUGCAGGAGGAUAAAGAUCAUAAUAUAUAAAACAUGCUGCUCUAGUGGGCCUAAAGGCAGCCACCUAAACAGAAAGCGUUAAAGCUCAGGCAGAAAGAAGUUUAUUAUACCGAUAAAAAAUCUUACUCCCCUAAUUAUAUCAGGCCAACCCAUGCCAACAUGGAAGAGAUUAUGCUAAAAUGAGUAACAAGAAGACCUGCUCUUCUCCCAGCACAAGUGUAAGCCAGAUCGGACUAGCCGCUGGAACUUAACGAACCCAACCCAAGAGGGUAGUGUGAAUAGUACAGACCCCAAGAAGAACUCACAACUAAACAAUCGUUAACCCCACACUGGAGUGCUAUUAUAAAGGAAAGACUAAAAGAGGGGGAAGGAACUCGGCAAACACAAGCCUCGCCUGUUUACCAAAAACAUCGCCUCCUGCAACUAUAUUGAGUAUAGGAGGUCCAGCCUGCCCAGUGACUACGGGUUCAACGGCCGCGGUAUUUUGACCGUGCAAAGGUAGCGCAAUCACUUGUCUCUUAAAUAGAGACCUGUAUGAAUGGCUAGACGAGGGCUUAACUGUCUCCCCCCUCCAGUCAGUGAAAUUGAUCUAUCCGUGCAGAAGCGGGUAUAAUUAUACAAGACGAGAAGACCCUUUGGAGCUUAAGGUACAAAAUCCAACCACGUUAAACGACCCCCUAAAGGGCAAGAACUUAGUGGCCAAUGAAGUUUUACCUUCGGUUGGGGCGACCACGGAGGAGAAAAAAGCCUCCGAGUGGACUGGGUUAAAACCCAAAGCUAAGAGAUACAUCUCUAAGCCGCAGAACAUCUGACCAAAAGUGAUCCGGCUAAAAAGCCGAUCAACGAACCAAGUUACCCUAGGGAUAACAGCGCAAUCCUCUCCCAGAGUCCAUAUCGACGAGGGGGUUUACGACCUCGAUGUUGGAUCAGGACAUCCUAAUGGUGCAGCCGCUAUUAAGGGU